RNAcentral lists this non-coding RNA (96 nucleotides) under Azadinium spinosum. Lineage: Eukaryota; Dinophyceae; Gonyaulacales; Amphidomataceae. The record is from RNAcentral.
GGCGCUGCCACCGUCGCGCCCACGCUGCUCCAGAGCCGCUUCGUGAUCUGGGCUGCGGGGGAGUUUCAGUACCCGAGUGCCGAUGCUGCUCCCUCG